GACGAACGCUGGCGGCGUGCUUAACACAUGCAAGUCGAACGUGAUUUUUAAGGAAAGCCCUUCGGGGUGGGAAUUGAAAUGAAAGUGGCGAACGGGUGAGUAACACGUGAGCAACCUACCUUACACUGGGGGAUAGCUGUUGGAAACGAUGAUUGAUACCGCUGAGACCACAGAAUCCUAUGUUUGGGGAUCAAAGAUUUUUCGUGGUUUUGGUGUUGGCGUCUUGUUGGGUAGUUGGAAGGGUAAUGGUGAUGAGUCUUCUAUUUUUUGUUGGGUGAUAGAUUAUGGUUGCUUUGUUCGGGACUGUGUCAUUGUUUUGGAUUUGCUGUGGUUUUUUUUUUGGGUUGUUGUUGUGUGUGGCUCGUGGGGUGGGGGUUUUUAACUUUGGUCUUGCUGGGGAGGUUGUGGGUUAUUAUGGAUGGUGUUGUGAACGUUUGUGUUGUUUUUUUUUUAUGGUGGUGGUUUGGUGUUGUUGUUGUUUACUUGU
This 487-nucleotide ribosomal RNA is filed under the name uncultured Neisseria sp. Its description in RNAcentral is "partial 16S ribosomal RNA". Lineage: Bacteria; Pseudomonadati; Pseudomonadota; Betaproteobacteria; Neisseriales; Neisseriaceae. The record is from RNAcentral.